ACGGAGGGUGCAAGCGUUAUCCGGAUUUACUGGGUUUAAAGGGUGCGUAGGUGGGUCUGUAAGUCAGUGGUGAAAUCUCCGGGCUUAACCCGGAAAUUGCCAUUGAUACUAUAGGUCUUGAAUCAUCUGGAGGUAAGCGGAAUAUGUCAUGUAGCGGUGAAAUGCUUAGAUAUGACAUAGAACACCAAUUGCGAAGGCAGCUGGCUACACAAUUAUUGACACUGAGGCUCGAAAGCGUGGGGAUCAAACAGGA
This 253-nucleotide ribosomal RNA is filed under the name uncultured prokaryote. RNAcentral describes it as "partial 16S ribosomal RNA". It matches the Rfam family "Bacterial small subunit ribosomal RNA", at positions 525 to 777 of the family's 1533-position model. The record is from RNAcentral.